RNAcentral lists this transfer RNA (74 nucleotides) under Escherichia coli. RNAcentral describes it as "tRNA-Val". It matches the Rfam family "tRNA". From Rfam's summary of the family: Transfer RNA (tRNA) molecules are approximately 80 nucleotides in length. RNAcentral also lists the same sequence under 1 other name. The record is from RNAcentral. Lineage: Bacteria; Pseudomonadati; Pseudomonadota; Gammaproteobacteria; Enterobacterales; Enterobacteriaceae.
GGGUGAUUAGCUCAGCUGGGAGAGCACCUCCCUUACAAGGAGGGGGUGCGGUUCGAUCCCGUCAUCACCCACCA